RNAcentral lists this ribosomal RNA (253 nucleotides) under uncultured bacterium. RNAcentral describes it as "partial 16S ribosomal RNA". It matches the Rfam family "Bacterial small subunit ribosomal RNA", at positions 524 to 776 of the family's 1533-position model. The record is from RNAcentral.
UACGUAGGAUGCGAGCGUUGUCCGGAAUUAUUGGGCGUAAAGAGAACGUAGGCGGUUUGCCAAGUUUGAUCUUAAAGACCGGGGCUUAACUCCGGGAGUGGAUCGAAAACUGGCAGACUAGAGGACGUCAGAGGAAAGUGGAAUUCCCAGUGUAGCGGUGAAAUGCGUAGAUAUGCGGAGGAACACCGAUGGCGAAGGCAAUCCCCUGGGCCUGCACUGACGCUCAUGCACGAAAGCGUGGGGAGCAAACAGG